This is a long non-coding RNA of Acinonyx jubatus (cheetah), 2769 nucleotides long. RefSeq lists it as uncharacterized. The transcript is spliced from 4 exons. The record is from RefSeq and is a predicted model, not a curated record. Lineage: Eukaryota; Metazoa; Chordata; Mammalia; Carnivora; Felidae.
UAUUAGAAAUUUUUCCAGGUCCCAGCCACACUAAAGAGAAGGGUAUCAUGCAAAGAAUACCAGGAAGUGGUAUCCUUGGGAGAAUCACUUAACACAUCAUGGAGACAACUUACAAAUCUGCUACAGAAGCGUUGUGAUAUUGCUUUCAAGAAAUCAUUAAAAAAUGAAAAUCUAUGGAAAUAUCAAUGUGUUGUGAACCUGAACAGACCAAUAUAACAUUGUAUGACAAUUAUACUUCAGUAAUUUUUUAAAGCUAUGGAAAUAGAAGUGAAAACAUAAAAAACUAAGAAGAAUGGACUAGGAGGUCUAAUGUCUGACUAAUAAGAUUUCUAAAAGGAGAUAUUAGAGUAAAACUGUGGAGAAAAAAAAUUUUGAAAGAAAUAAUAUAAGAAGAUGAGGUCCCAGAACUAAAGGGCAUGAUUCUACAGAUUAAAGGGUCCAUUGAGUGCCUAUCAAACUUAAUAAGAAAUCCAACAUCGUUGUGAGUUUUAAGAACACAAGAGAUGAAGGUCCUAACAGUUUCCAGAGAGAAAAAUUAGAAUUCCAUUGAACUUCUUAACAGCAAGCAGAACAUAGAACAUAAUGGAAGAAUACCUUAAAAAUUCUGAGGGCUUUACAAUUCUAUGCUUAUCUACUCUAUAAGUGAGGAGAACCUAGAGACAUUUUAAGAUGUAUAAGGACUCAAACAGAGAGGUUUCAAAUGAAGAACAACCAGUUCAUACUGAAGCAGGUUCCAAUGAGCAGAUAUACGACACUGGAUCUGCAGGCUUAAGCAACCAACCUUAGCCAGCAACCAUUCAUAGGAACUCAUAACUUCUGUGGAGCAUGGAGAGGGUGUCAUCUGGUUCUCAGGCAGCUGGGUUGCAGUUUCCUCUGGAAUGUGGACAAACUCAGUGACUUGCUUUUGACAAAUAGGAAAAGUGAAAGUAAAGGUCUGUGGCUUUGGAGGCUAAGUCAUAAAAGGUACCGUGGCUUCUUCCUUGCUCUCUUUUGGAUUACUCACUCUGGAGGAAGUUACCAUGUUUUGAAGACAGGUCCACCUUGUGAGGAGCUGAGGACUCCAGCCAAGAGCCAGGAAAACUCCAGAUACCCACUACUUUUUACCUGGUCCCGUGCAGAAUGCUGUGGGUUUUAUAUUCUAACUGAAGCCACUGUACUCGCUAUGGCAGAAACGGACAAUGAAGUAAGAGACAAGUGAAACCAAGAAGAUAGGAGCUACUUGCUGGCAAAUUAGUAGAACAUAAAGGCUCAUGUUGUAUGUGUUGCAAGACCCUAACCACAACCUCUCUAUUCAGAAGACCAGCCAAGACUGUGGCCCACAUUUCAGGGGACAUGAGGGACACCACCAGGUAGUUAAGUAUCUCAGAAACUCUCUGCUCAUUGGAGGAAUUUUUGUUGAAGUGAAUGCUUAUAUAUAAUUUUUGAGAUCAACAUGAAACAAGUUAGAAAGUAAUCAAUGUUCACUGAGGAGCAUUACUGAGAGACAGCCGGUUUAUAGGUUUUUGAUUGUGGUGCAAGAUGUGCACUCGUUCCCGUGUGAGUGGGAUUUGGGAUUUAAUUUCAGAACCACCUUGUAAUAUAUCUGGUGCCAUAUAAUGUUGCUAACUUCCCCCAAUAUCAUCAUUACUAAUAAGAGCUAUCUAUAUUUUGAACCCUUAGUACACACGGCCUUGUGCUAAAUUCUGACCGUGUUUUAGAAUUUCUUCUACAUAGAAGAUGCUCAUAGUAGAGCAUGAGGUGGAUAAUAUUGUCUUCCUUUUAUCAGUCAGGGAAUCCAGAAGAGUUAGGAGUCUGUUCAGGGUCACACAGCUACUCAGUUGGAGACCCAGGGUUUGACACCAGUCCUACCUAAGCCCCCAAACAUGUCUUUAACCACUGUUCUAGGGGCACUCUGCACAGUAUUUAACAAGGGACAGAUGGACUUGUUUCUAACACAAGUCAGUUUGAAGAAUAUUGUAAGUCAAAUAAUUAUCUAGUUUGUAUCUUCAUGUUCACAUGUGAAGGAAAAAACUUCUGUUGUCCCAGGAAUUACUGUUGUGCUUUGCAUUUCUAAGAGCAUAUGUUAAAACUGAAGAAAAUUCCUUGCAGAUGUAAGACAUGUCUGGUAACACUUGCCUGAUCGGUCCUUUCAGUUGGAUGCCAUAGCGACUUGCGCUACCCACCCCACCCCCACUUCUCUUUACAUAAAAGGGCUGGGUUUUCCUAUCUGUCCUUAACUUCUACUCUAGGACACGCUCCACAGCUUUGCUGUUGACAAGCAUUUCUUGGUAAAGGGUCCUGUGGCGUAAAAUUUCUUAGCCUUCUACCACUAGUAAUACAUAAACAUUAAGACGGAGGGCUUCAGUUUAGAAGACAAGCAGGCAGCGCUCAUUCAAAGAUGUGGGGACAUAGUAGGUUCCUAUCUUCUCUGUGUAACCAUUCAGAUAAAGACUGUGUUAGCCAAGUAGGAUUUCCUAUGGAUCGUGGGUUACCAAAACAUUUUCGUUCAAAAUGGACUUUUAAGAAAAAUAGGAAACCUGUGAAAUUACAAAGGUUACAAAAGACUUUAAUUCCUACAAUGACCUGAGGGUUAAACACACACACACACACACAUACACACACACACACCGUAACUACGUUGUAAAGAAUGCUUCAAUAAUUCGUUAAUACUAACAAUUGAAGGGUGCAAUUUAUUCAGUGAUAGCCAUCAAAUCACCUACUGUUGCAGACAUGGGUGUACCAGGGAGGAGAUGAGACUAGUUUCUUAAGAUCUUUUCCUAGUUGCUUUGA